AAAGGGGUUGGGGACGGUGGCCCCGAGUGGACAGGCGCCGCAGCGUUGCUCGACCCCCCCCGUGCCCUUCCGCGCAAGCUUGUGUGGGCUCAGUUCACGGUAGCCAUUAUUAUUUUUGGGUGUAGACUAGGGUGAUCACCGUACAGUGAUGUGGAAGGCCAGGGGAAGAGAAUGAUGAACUCAGAGAAAGCGGGUGAGAACAGCCUCCCCUCGGCAAGGGGAGCUUCCUUAGUAGAUAAAUCGGGAACCGUGCACCUGGUGGAGGGAACGGCGUGUUCAAACACUCAGAGGCGGGAAAGAAGCGUAGCUCGGGAGAAUGCGAAAGGCCUGCCGUGACCUGUCCAGCAUGCAUUGUCCAUCUGCCUUAAACAUUGACAAUGUCCCAAAGCAGAGAAUGAUGCCCUGACAGGUAGGGGCGUCGCCUCCUCCUGUAUCAGCAUUUCUUUAAAGAUAAGCAUUUCUUCCCGGAAAUGUAGGAUUAAUUACUGACCUGCUGGUCUAGCAAAUCAUCUCAUGACUGUAAUAAAAGAGAUAUUCCGGUCAUA
Molecule: long non-coding RNA, 545 nt
Organism: Equus quagga
Lineage: Eukaryota; Metazoa; Chordata; Mammalia; Perissodactyla; Equidae
Exons: 2
Source: RefSeq, a predicted model, not a curated record